CAACAUUCUCAUUGUUAGAUGGAGGUGCUUGUCACUCAGAUGCCGAUGCAUGUCAGAAUCAGGACAAUUUUGGAGAGACAACCGACUGUGGUGCGACAGGGACGUCAUCGAAGCAUACAGUGUAUGAAAUUAUCCAAACAGAGCUGGUGUGCGAACAUCAAACUCUCCACCUGGAGUGUGAUUGUGGUUUUAUUUACAUACUGAGCGCCAACUAUGGACGUAAAGAUGGAGUCACGUGUGGAGGUCCUGUACAGACAACUGACUGUUCUGCUACUACUAGCUACAAUAUCGUCUAUGGUGCAUGCGACGGAGAAAUAUCAUGUGACGUGGUUGCCGAGAAUGAUGUGUUUGGCGAUCCGUGUGUGGGUACUGUCAAGUACCUUGAAGUGGAAUACCACUGCAAUCAAAUUAGUGGUGAAUUACACAUUGAAUAAUUAAAAUUAUCUUGAAGUGGAAUAUGCAUGUGUAUAGAAUCUUGCACUGAAUGUAUCGAGUUGAUGUACUUAGUUAAUGACAACAACAUUAAUUUAAGAUAAAGAUAUCAUGGCGUUUUCGACUACAUCCACAUCAAUUACUUUCAGUAAUAUUUAGCUUAUUUGCAACUUUACGGCAUUAUUCAAUAUUAAAACCCAGUUAUCAUUACUAUGGAUAGAACAAUCGAAA
Saccoglossus kowalevskii is the source of this 663-nucleotide long non-coding RNA. Lineage: Eukaryota; Metazoa; Hemichordata; Enteropneusta; Harrimaniidae. The record is from RefSeq and is a predicted model, not a curated record.